AUCUUUUAGACAACAUUAAAAGUGAGCUCUGCUCCAUGCUUCAGUAAAUAGCCGCAGUAUCCUGACUGUGCAAAGGUAGCAUAAUAAUUAGUCUUGUAAUUCAAGACCGGAAUGAAAGAGUCCACCAAAGAGGCUUUCUCUUAGUUGUUUCAAUUUAAAUUUACCUUUUAGUAAAAAGGCUAAAAUUUUCCUCAAAGACAAGAAGACCCUGUAAAACUUUACAUAGAACAGUCUCGUAAACUUCUAAUAUGUUCAACUGGGGCGGUAGAAAAACUUAACAUUUUCAAAUCUUUAAAAUCCAUUUCCUAUACCCAAAACUUUUGAAAAUUAAACAAGCUACUUCAGGGAUAACAGCGUUAUAUACUUUAAAAGUCCUCAUUGACAAGUAUGAUUGCGACCUCGAUGUUGGAUUAAGUUCCCCCCACCCCGCAAGAGGGGUGAAGGGAGGUCUGUUCGACCUUUAAACCCUUCCA
This 473-nucleotide ribosomal RNA is filed under the name Rhopalurus ochoai. RNAcentral describes it as "partial 16S ribosomal RNA". It matches the Rfam family "Archaeal large subunit ribosomal RNA", at positions 1908 to 2669 of the family's 2987-position model. The record is from RNAcentral. Lineage: Eukaryota; Metazoa; Arthropoda; Arachnida; Scorpiones; Buthidae.